ACUCUCUCACUCUGCAUGGCUACACUACAUGCAGUCUCCCGUGUGACUUUCGUACUGGGAGAGAGAGAAAGCGAGUUCCUCCAGUACUUUGGAUUGGCUUCACAGUAGCCUUUCUUGCCUAGAGGAGCACCACAGGU
This is a small nucleolar RNA of Rattus norvegicus (Norway rat), 137 nucleotides long. Ensembl annotates it as small nucleolar RNA SNORA64/SNORA10 family. NCBI's taxonomy places the organism in Eukaryota, Metazoa, Chordata, Mammalia, Rodentia, Muridae. The record is from Ensembl.